This 640-nucleotide unclassified non-coding RNA is filed under the name Hevea brasiliensis (rubber tree). The record is from RNAcentral. Lineage: Eukaryota; Viridiplantae; Streptophyta; Magnoliopsida; Malpighiales; Euphorbiaceae.
CUUUGCUAUAUUUUCUGUAUUCUUUUGCUCCUGUAUAGGCUAGGAAACUGGCAUGUUUUGUUCCUUGAAGUUGAUCAAGAUGUUGGUUUACUUGAUCCGAUCUCCCCAGAAUACCAUUCUUGUUUCUUUCUUUUGUAGUUUCUUGUCUGUUCUUAUUUUUUUAAACCUAAUUGGUUCUUUAAAAAUAAAGGGACAAAACUUUAAAGAUAAAGUUGUACUCCAGUGGGCACAAGUUACAAAUUUAUGAAAACAAGGUUAACCGCGCCUCUUUCUUUCCCAUUAUUUAACAUGAUCUUCCCAUUUGGAGUACUGCCCACCUGCUAACGCACGAUAAUAUCUAUCUCUGCAGUGGACUGGUCUUCCAAAAGCAGCCUUGGCAGCAGCUGCUGCCAAAUCAUCCUCAGCCAUAACCUCCACCGGCAAACUCAGCAAACACUGAUAUUAUUCUUUGUGUUGAUAUUUGAAGUUGGAUCAUUUGAUGGGCUCUCUUUUGUGGCAAAAUUGUUUUGAAAGAAAUUCUCCAUGGGUGCGUCAAAGAUAAAUAGUAAUACUGCUGUAACGAGCAAUGCAACUGUUCCUACUAGUGUUUGUUUCAGCAAUUUGAUGACUGGUUUAACCUUGCAAGAGCCCAACAAUCUGU